AUGGCUUCUCCAGGGAGUGGACAUGGGAACCAUGAUGAUAAUGGAUCAGAAACACCAAAAGAUGUGCAAGAAACCGCAGCUACCAAUGCGAAAGAUCAUAUUAAUGAAAGAGUACCAAAGAUUGGAAUGAAUUUUUUAUCUGAUGAGGAGGCUUAUUCCUUUUAUAACAAGUAUGCUGAAGUUAUGGGUUUUAGCGUCCGGAGAGGCAGUAAGCAUAAAGUAAAGAACUCUGAUACAAUACAACAGAGGACAUAUUCUGUUCUCGUCAAGGUGUAUGAAUUUGAGGAGACACAUAACCACAUUCUUGCUACUGGAACCAUGGCCCAAUACUUGAGAUCUCACAGAAAAGUUAUCGAUUCAAUCGUCACUUGGAAAUACAAUCUCGAUGCAACAGAACCCAAGAAUGCUGGCAGGAUACCAACAAUACAAUACACUAAUGGUAUAAGCAUUCGACAUUGUCAAGUUUUUUUAUCACUUUGA
Molecule: ribosomal RNA, 480 nt
Filed under: Triticum aestivum (bread wheat)
Lineage: Eukaryota; Viridiplantae; Streptophyta; Magnoliopsida; Poales; Poaceae
Description: partial small subunit ribosomal RNA
Source: RNAcentral